RNAcentral lists this transfer RNA (62 nucleotides) under Parabacteroides sp. merdae-related_45_40. Its description in RNAcentral is "tRNA-Phe". It matches the Rfam family "tRNA". From Rfam's summary of the family: Transfer RNA (tRNA) molecules are approximately 80 nucleotides in length. Their secondary structure includes four short double-helical elements and three loops (D, anti-codon, and T loops). Further hydrogen bonds mediate the characteristic L-shaped molecular structure. tRNAs have two regions of fundamental functional importance: the anti-codon, which is responsible for specific mRNA codon recognition, and the 3' end, to which the tRNAs corresponding amino acid is attached (by aminoacyl-tRNA synthetases). tRNAs cope with the degeneracy of the genetic code in two manners: having more than one tRNA (with a specific anti-codon) for a particular amino acid; and 'wobble' base-pairing, i.e. permitting non-standard base-pairing at the 3rd anti-codon position. Lineage: Bacteria; Pseudomonadati; Bacteroidota; Bacteroidia; Bacteroidales; Tannerellaceae. The record is from RNAcentral.
GGUGCCAUAGCUCAGUUGGUAGAGCAAAGGACUGAAAAUCCUUGUGUCCCCGGUUGGCACCA